AUACGUAGGUGGCGAGCGUUGUCCGGAUUUACUGGGUGUAAAGGGCGCGUAGGCGGGCUAUCAAGUCAGAUGUGAAAUACCGGGGCUUAACUCCGGAGCUGCAUUUGAAACUGACAGUCUUGAGUAUCGGAGAGGAAAGCGGAAUUCCUAGUGUAGCGGUGAAAUGCGUAGAUAUUAGGAGGAACACCAGUGGCGAAGGCGGCUUUCUGGACGACAACUGACGCUGAGGCGCGAAAGUGUGGGGAGCAAACAGGAUUAGAUACCCUGGUAGUCCACACCGUAAACGAUGGAUACUAGGUGUAGGAGGUAUCGACCCCUUCUGUGCCGGAGUUAACACAAUAAGUAUCCCACCUGGGGAGUACGGCCGCAAGGCUGAAACUCAAAGGAAUUGACGGGG
This 397-nucleotide ribosomal RNA is filed under the name uncultured bacterium. Its description in RNAcentral is "partial 16S ribosomal RNA". It matches the Rfam family "Bacterial small subunit ribosomal RNA", at positions 523 to 918 of the family's 1533-position model. The record is from RNAcentral.